This 72-nucleotide transfer RNA is filed under the name Bos taurus (domestic cattle). It matches the Rfam family "tRNA". Rfam says of the family: Transfer RNA (tRNA) molecules are approximately 80 nucleotides in length. Their secondary structure includes four short double-helical elements and three loops (D, anti-codon, and T loops). The record is from Rfam by way of RNAcentral. Lineage: Eukaryota; Metazoa; Chordata; Mammalia; Artiodactyla; Bovidae. RNAcentral also lists the same sequence under 2 other names.
UCCCAAAUGGCUUAAGUGGUAAAGAAUCUGCCUACAGUACAGCAAACACAGGUUCAAUCCCUGAAUUGGGAA